RNAcentral lists this ribosomal RNA (570 nucleotides) under Naganishia albidosimilis. RNAcentral describes it as "LSU rRNA". It matches the Rfam family "Eukaryotic large subunit ribosomal RNA", at positions 88 to 663 of the family's 3401-position model. Lineage: Eukaryota; Fungi; Basidiomycota; Tremellomycetes; Filobasidiales; Filobasidiaceae. The record is from RNAcentral.
GGCGAGUGAAGCGGGAAGAGCUCAAAUUUGAAAUCUGGUAGCCUUCGGUUGCCCGAGUUGUAAUCUAGAGAAGUGUUUUCCGUGCCGGCCCAUGUACAGUCCCUUGGAACAGGGCGUCAUAGAGGGUGAGAAUCCCGUCCUUGACAUGGACCCCCGGUGCUUUGUGAUACACUUUCAACGAGUCGAGUUGUUUGGGAAUGCAGCUCAAAAUGGGUGGUGAAUUCCAUCUAAAGCUAAAUAUUGGCGAGAGACCGAUAGCGAACAAGUACCGUGAGGGAAAGAUGAAAAGCACUUUGGAAAGAGAGUUAAACAGUACGUGAAAUUGUUGAAAGGGAAACGAUUGAAGUCAGUCAUGCUCUUUGGUAUUUAUAUCAUUGAGUGGGGUCAACAUCAGUUUUGAUCGAUGGAUAAAGGCACUAGGAAGGUAGCACUCUCGGGUGAACUUAUAGCCUAGCGUCAUAUACAUUGAUUGGGACUGAGGAACGCAGCAUGCCUUUAUGGCCGGGAUUCGUCCACGUACAUGCUUAGGAUGUUGACAUAAUGGCUUUAAACGACCCGUCUUGAAACACG